Molecule: ribosomal RNA, 443 nt
Filed under: uncultured bacterium
Lineage: Bacteria
Description: partial 16S ribosomal RNA
Rfam family: Bacterial small subunit ribosomal RNA
Source: RNAcentral
CCUACGGGAUGCAGCAGUGGGGGAUAUUGGACAAUGGGGGGAACCCUGAUCCAGCGCCGCCGCGUGAGUGAAGAAGUAUUUAGGUAUGUAAAGCUCUGUCAGCAGGGAAGCAAAAAAUGACGGUAUCUGACUAAGAAGCUCCGGCUAAAUACGUGCCAGCAACCGCGGGAAUACGUAGGGGGCAAGUGUUAUCCGGAAUUACUGGGUGUAAAGGGAGCGUAGACGGUUAAGUAAGUCUGGAGGGAAAGGCCUGGGCCCAACCCCGGGACUGCUCUUGAAACUAUUGAACUUGAGUGCAGGAGAGGUAAGCGGAAUUCCUAGUGUAGCGGUGAAAUGCGUAGAUAUUAGGAGGAACACCAGUGGCGAAGGCGGCUUACUGGACUGUAACUGACGUUGAGGCUCGAAAGCGUGGGGAGCAAACAGGAUUAGAUACCCGAGUAGUC